AGCUUAGUUUUAAAAAUAGACUUCAUAUUUAAAUGACAGGAACCGUGACGCGCUGCUCCGCAAAGAAGCCACACGGCAAAGCCCACGGCCUGGUUCCGCGCGCUGGACAGUGAGCUCAGUGGAGCAGAGAGACGGGAUGGAAGCUGGAAGAUCCAAAGAAAUCAAGACACAGUCCACGAGGAAAACAAAACUGGCAGAUCGGAAAAGAGAACGUGAUUGAUUACGCGGUGUCGAAAUGUCAUCGGGGUAGAGGGAGCUCACGGUGCAAGUGGUCAUGGUUGCUGCUUAGAAAUGGCACCUACAAAAUCUCGGCGGGGGCGGAGUGCAGCGGCUAGUCAAGAGGCUUCCUCAGAGGGUGUUCUCUGAUGUACCUUCUCUGUGGGGACAAUGUCCCUGGGCGAGGCUUGCUGGAACCCUCCCAGACUCUGGACAUGGGCUUUCCUGGGUUUGCCAUUCAACCCCUCCCACUCUGAGGUGAGUAUUCAGGUUGGAUGGAAAGUGAGAUGGUUCUGGAGAGGAAAUCUACUCUGGAGGCUUAGAGAACACUUGAGAAAGAAGCCUAUUUCAAAGCAUUAAAAAGAGACUCAAAGAAAUUCAAAGGGGCUAUUGUUUUG
Lutra lutra (Eurasian river otter) is the source of this 614-nucleotide long non-coding RNA. RefSeq lists it as uncharacterized. The record is from RefSeq and is a predicted model, not a curated record. NCBI's taxonomy places the organism in Eukaryota, Metazoa, Chordata, Mammalia, Carnivora, Mustelidae. The transcript has 3 exons.